Molecule: ribosomal RNA, 253 nt
Filed under: uncultured bacterium
Lineage: Bacteria
Description: partial 16S ribosomal RNA
Rfam family: Bacterial small subunit ribosomal RNA
Source: RNAcentral
UACGUAGGGACCGAGCGUUGUCCGGAAUCAUUGGGCGUAAAGAGCGUGUAGGCGGCUUGUUAAGUCUUGCGUGAAAUCUCGGGGCUCAACCCCGAGCGGUCGUGAGAAACUGGCAGGCUAGAGUGCGGGAGAGGAGAGUGGAAUUCCUGGUGUAGCGGUGAAAUGCGCAGAUAUCAGGAGGAACACCAAUUGCGAAGGCAGCUCGCUGGGACGUUACUGACGCUGAGACGCGAAAGCGUGGGGAGCAAACAGG